UUAAGUAAGGAAGGGCGUACGGCGAAUGCCUUGCCACUCGAAACUGAAGAAGGACGCGCCAAACUGCGAAAAGCUCCGUGAAGCUGUAAGGAAGCGAAGAAGCGGAGGUGUCCGAAUGGGGGAACCCGGCAGCAGACAUGAGCUGUCAUCUGCAGGUGAAUACAUGGCCUGCAAGAGAGGUACCCGGCGAACUGAAACAUCUAAGUAGCCGGAGGAAAAGAAAACAACAGUGAUUCCCUGAGUAGCGGCGAGCGAAAGGGGAGAAGCCCAAACCGGUUGAAGGACCGGGGUUGAAGGACCAUGACAUGGCAAGAACGAGGAUAGGAGAACGGGAUCGAAAGCCCGGCCGAAGAAGGUGAAAGCCCUGUAACCGAAAUCCGAGUAAAGCCUAAUGGGAUCCUGAGUACGGCGAGACACGAGAAAUCUUGUCGGAAGCAGGCGGGACCAUCCGCCAAGGCUAAAUAUAAACGAGUGAGCGAUAGUGAACCAGUACCGUGAGGGAAAGGUGAAAAGAACCGCGGGAGCGGAGUGAAAGAGAACCUGAAACCGUAUGCCUACAAGAAGUCAGAGCCCGUUAAGGGGUGAUGGCGUGCCUUUUGUAGAAUGAACCGGCGAGUUGCGACAGACUGCGAGGUUAAGGAGGAAAGACCGGAGCCGAAGCGAAAGCGAGUCUUAAGAGGGCGAAAGUAGGAUGUUGCAGACCCGAAACCGGGUGAUCUAGCCAUGAGCAGGUUGAAGUUGAGGUGAAACUCAAUGGAGGACCGAACCGACUACCGUUGAAAAGUUAGCGGAUGACUUGUGGCUAGGGGAGAAAUUCCAAUCGAACCCGGAGAUAGCUGGUUCUCCCCGAAAUAGCUUUAGGGCUAGCGUCGGAAAGAACCUUAGUGAAGGUAGAGCACUGAAUGUGUGAUGGCCCCAUCCCGGGGUACUGAAUACAAUCAAACUGCGAAUGUCAUUAAGGAUGUCCGGCAGUCAGACUGUGAGUGAUAAGGUCCAUGGUCAAGAGGGAAACAGCCCAGACCGCCAGUUAAGGUCCCAAAAUACAGGCUAAGUGGAAAAGGAUGUGGGGAUGCCCAGACAACUAGGAGGUUGGCUCAGAAGCAGCCAUCCUUUAAAGAGUGCGUAACAGCUCACUAGUCGAGUGACCCUGCGCCGAAAAUGUACCGGGGCUAAGCCUGAUACCGAAACUGCGGAUUGUAGGAAACUAUAGUGGUAGGGGAGCGUUGUAUACGAGCAGAAGCCGUACCGUGAGGAGCGGUGGAUUGUAUAGAAGUGAGAAUGCCGGUGUGAGUAGCGAGAUGUAGGUGAGAAUCCUACACACCGAAAGCCCAAGGAUUCCAGGGGAAGGUUUGUCCGCCCUGGGUAAGUCGGGACCUAACGCGAGGCCGAAAGGCGUAGUGGAUGGAAAGCAGGCGAAAGAUUCCUGCACCCGUAUAUGGAGCGAAGGAGUGACGGAGACGGAUAGUGUGACCCUCUUAAUGGAUUGAGGGCGAAGCGAAGCGGCUGGUUACCAGGCAAAUCCGGUAACCAUAAGGCUAGAGCGUGACAGGUAAGCGAAAUCUUAGGAAAGUAGCGAAGCACAUGAUGACGGCUUCCAGGAAAAGCUUCUGGCAAUGCAUAUGCGGCCCGUACCAAAACCGACACAGGUGGGCAGGGAGAGAAUCCCGAGGUGAGCGAGAGAACUGUUGCCAAGGAACUCGGCAAAAUGACUCCGUAAGUUAGCGAGAAGGAGUGCUUAAGCAAUUAAGCCGCAGUGAAGAGGCCCAAGCGACUGUUUAACUAAAACACAGCUCUCUGCGAAGUCGCAAGACGAAGUAUAGGGGGUGACACCUGCCCGGUGCUGGAAGGUUAAGAGGAUCUGUUAAGAGUGAUCUGAAGCAGUGAUCCGAAGCCCCAGUGAACGGCGGCCGGAACUAUAACGGUCCUAAGGUAGCGAAAUUCCUUGUCAGGUAAGUUCUGACCCGCACGAAAGGUGUAACGAUUUGGGCGCUGUCUCGGCAGCAGACUCGGUGAAAUCUUAGUACCUGUGAAAAUGCAGGUUACCCGCAACUAGACGGAAAGACCCCAUGGAGCUUUACUGCAGCCUGAUAUUGAAUUCUGGUCAUACAUGUACAGGAUAGGUGGGAGACAAAGAGACGUGCACGCCAGUGUACGAGGAGUCGACGUUGGGAUACCACUCUUGUGUGACCGGGGUUCUAACCUGGUAUCGAGAACAGGUACGGGGAGAGUGUCAGGUGGGCAGUUUGACUGGGGCGGUCGCCUCCCAAAGAGUAACGGAGGCGCCCAAAGGUACGCUCAGAUUGGAUGGAAACCAAUCGUCGAGUGCAAUUGCAGAAGCGUGCUUGACUGUGAGACAGACAAGUCGAACAGGGACGAAAGUCGGGAAUAGUGAUCCGGCGGUGCCGAAUGGAAGGGCCGUCGCUCAACGGAUAAAAGCUACCCUGGG
This 2446-nucleotide ribosomal RNA is filed under the name human gut metagenome. Its description in RNAcentral is "bacterial LSU rRNA". It matches the Rfam family "Bacterial large subunit ribosomal RNA", at positions 3 to 2472 of the family's 2925-position model. The record is from RNAcentral.